CCUGGCGGCGAGUGGCGAACGGGUGAGUAAUACAUCGGAACGUGCCCAAUCGUGGGGGAUAACGUAGCGAAAGCUACGCUAAUACCGCAUAAGAUCUACGGAUGAAAGCGGGGGAUUCGCAAGAACCUCGCGCGAGUGGAGCGGCCGAUGGCAGAUUAGGUAGUUGGUGAGGUAAAGGCUCACCAAGCCUUCGAUCUGUAGCUGGUCUGAGAGGACGACCAGCCACACUGGGACUGAGACACGGCCCAGACUCCUACGGGAGGCAGCAGUGGGGAAUUUUGGACAAUGGGCGAAAGCCUGAUCCAGCAAUGCCGCGUGCAGGAUGAAGGCCUUCGGGUUGUAAACUGCUUUUGUACGGAACGAAAAGGUCUGCCCUAAUACGGCGGGCCCAUGACGGUACCGUAAGAAUAAGCACCGGCUAACUACGUGCCAGCAGCCGCGGUAAUACGUAGGGUGCAAGCGUUAAUCGGAAUUACUGGGCGUAAAGCGUGCGCAGGCGGUUAUAUAAGACAGUUGUGAAAUCCCCGGGCUCAACCUGGGAACUGCAUCUGUGACUGUAUAGCUAGAGUACGGUAGAGGGGGAUGGAAUUCCGCGUGUAGCAGUGAAAUGCGUAGAUAUGCGGAGGAACACCGAUGGCGAAGGCAAUCCCCUG
RNAcentral lists this ribosomal RNA (653 nucleotides) under uncultured bacterium. Its description in RNAcentral is "bacterial SSU rRNA". It matches the Rfam family "Bacterial small subunit ribosomal RNA", at positions 84 to 731 of the family's 1533-position model. The record is from RNAcentral.